AUUAACUCAGGGCUGGGCUGCUGCCUGUGACUCUCCCAGCUCCCUGCUCGUCCCCAGAGGUCCCUUCCGGGCACAAUCUAUUAUCUAGGAAGCCGAUCGAUGUGUGACGGCCCCAGAGCAGAGACGCCCUGAUGGUGGCGAGGGGGGCGGCCAGAACUGGUUACAAUGCUCCAGACACGGUCCAGAUCUUCCCCUCGUGGGGGGCAUCUGAAGCAAGUGUCUCAAUGAAGUACUAACUACAAUUUUCCACCUUACGUCCAUCCGAGAAGGAAACGAGUUAUUCCAGCGCAACUGGUUUUGUGGGGGACCAGUUCUGGCAAGGGUUCUUCCAAGCACUCAGAAACCAUCCUCUAAAAAGCCCUCUUUAGAGCCCUGUCCAAGGUCAAUGUCAAGAUGAUCUGUUGGCAGUGUGUACCUUUCUUCCCAUUUUACUAAGCUGGGGACACUGUCUACUUCUUUUCCGUACUGAGUAAAGAUCGAAUUCCUCAGCCUGGCCGAAAGGCCUCGCCUU
Long non-coding RNA from Manis pentadactyla (Chinese pangolin), 511 nucleotides. RefSeq lists it as uncharacterized. NCBI's taxonomy places the organism in Eukaryota, Metazoa, Chordata, Mammalia, Pholidota, Manidae. The record is from RefSeq and is a predicted model, not a curated record. The transcript is spliced from 3 exons.